AGCAGCCGCGGUAAUUCCAGCUCCAAUAGCGUAUAUUAAAGUUGUUGCAGUUAAAAAGCUCGUAGUUGAAUUUCGGGAUUAGUACGUUGGUCGUGCCUUAGGUACGUACUGGUGUUACUGGUUCCUACCUUCUGACGAACCAUCAUGUCAUUAAUUUGGUGUGGCGGGGAAUCAGGACUGUUACUUUGAAAAAAUUAGAGUGUUUAAAGCAGGCUCGCGCUUGAAUACAUUAGCAUGGAAUAAUGAAAUAGGACGUUGACCCUAUUUUGUUGGUUUCUAGGAUUGACGUAAUGAUUAAUAGGGAUAGUUGGGGGCAUUAGUAUUCAAUUGUCAGAGGUGAAAUUCUUGGAUUUAUUGAAGACUAACUACUGCGAAAGCAUUUGCCAAGGAUGUUUUCAUUAAUCAAGAACGAAAGUUAGGGGAUCGAAGACGAUCAGAUACCGUCGUACUCUUAACCAUAAACUAUGCCGACUAGGGAUCGGAUGAUGUUAUUUUUAAUGACUCAUUCGGCGCCUUACG
RNAcentral lists this ribosomal RNA (519 nucleotides) under uncultured Glomus. RNAcentral's name for it is "SSU rRNA". It matches the Rfam family "Eukaryotic small subunit ribosomal RNA", at positions 569 to 1092 of the family's 1831-position model. Lineage: Eukaryota; Fungi; Glomeromycota; Glomeromycetes; Glomerales; Glomeraceae. The record is from RNAcentral.